Molecule: ribosomal RNA, 284 nt
Filed under: uncultured bacterium
Lineage: Bacteria
Description: partial 16S ribosomal RNA
Rfam family: Bacterial small subunit ribosomal RNA
Source: RNAcentral
AUUGAACGCUGGCGGCAGGCCUAACACAUGCAAGUCGAGCGGGAACUUCGGUUCUAGCGGCGGACGGGUGAGUAAUGCCUAGGAAUCUGCCUAGUGGUGGGGAUAACGUUCGGAAACGGACGCUAAUACCGCAUACGUCCUACGGGAGAAAGCGGGGGAUCUUCGGACCUCGCGCCAUUAGAUGAGCCUAGGUCGGAUUAGCUAGUUGGUGAGGUAAUGGCUCACCAAGGCGACCGAUCCGUAACUGGUCUGAGAGGAUGAUCAGUCACACUGGAACUGAGACA